This 50-nucleotide transfer RNA is filed under the name Cherleria arctica. Its description in RNAcentral is "partial tRNA-Leu". RNAcentral also lists the same sequence under 1 other name. The record is from RNAcentral. Lineage: Eukaryota; Viridiplantae; Streptophyta; Magnoliopsida; Caryophyllales; Caryophyllaceae.
AAAUCCGUCGACUUUUAAAAUCGUGAGGGUUCAAGUCCCUCUAUCCCCAA